GAUGAAGAACGCAGCGAAAUGCGAUACGUAAUGUGAAUUGCAGAAUUCAGUGAAUCAUCGAAUCUUUGAACGCACAUUGCGCCUGCCAGCACUCUGGCAGGCAUGCCUGUUCGAGCGUCAUUUCAACCAUCAAGCCCUAGGCUUGCGUUGGAGCCCUGCGGCUGCCGCAGGCCCCCAAAAGCAGUGGCGGGCUCGCUAUCACACCGAGUGCAGUAGAUUACUCUUCGCUCAGGGCGUGUGGCGGGUUCCAGCCGUGAAACCCCCUACUUCUCAAGGUUGACCUCGGAUCAGGUAGGAAUACCCGCUGAACUUAAGAAUAUCAAUAAGCGGAGGA
This 334-nucleotide unclassified non-coding RNA is filed under the name soil metagenome. RNAcentral's name for it is "partial contains 5.8S ribosomal RNA, internal transcribed spacer 2, and large subunit ribosomal RNA". The stretch from base 1 to 120 matches the Rfam family "5.8S ribosomal RNA", at positions 35 to 154 of the family's 154-position model. The record is from RNAcentral.